CUAUCAAUGAACUCACCUUAAUCCAAAGAGAUGAUGAAGGAGUUAAGACGGGGUUGAUGAUGUUGAUGAUGAUCUUAUGAAUUUUCCCCUUCUUUUUCCAUGAGCUUUUUCUUCUUCUUUCUCCCUUCCCCCUUUUCUCUCAUUUCUCUUCUCUUCUUUUCCUCUUUUCUUUGUCUCUUUAGUGAUUUUUCUUUCUCUUUUUCUUAUCCACUUU
This 214-nucleotide long non-coding RNA is filed under the name Lathyrus oleraceus (garden pea). RNAcentral's name for it is "Pisum sativum (pea) long non-coding RNA (PSAT_LNC000774)". The record is from RNAcentral. Lineage: Eukaryota; Viridiplantae; Streptophyta; Magnoliopsida; Fabales; Fabaceae.